RNAcentral lists this long non-coding RNA (1309 nucleotides) under Gadus morhua (Atlantic cod). RNAcentral describes it as "lncRNA (ENSGMOG00000034391.1)". Lineage: Eukaryota; Metazoa; Chordata; Actinopteri; Gadiformes; Gadidae. The record is from RNAcentral.
UCAUGCAUCAAUAAUAUUUUAGAUAUUUGUCCUCAGUUGGUUAGCCGUACAGUGUGCGUAUAAAGAAGCGCAACACUUGACUUCGCAGAUUUAACUGACUUAGUUUUUCUCAAUAGUAUAAACACGUUUUCUGAAACUAUAGCUCAAAACUUUAAACACAAACCUGAGAAAAGUCUAAACUACACAUAUUCUUCUCAAAACUGUUUUUUUCCACUGAGCAGUCAACACAGCUAUCAAAGGAAUAUCUCUUAGAGAGCAUAAAUUAAACACUGGUGUGUUCAAUUCAAAACACUUCCAUCAAAAUACUUUUUUUUAUAAUGUUUUGGCUUUAUGAGGCCAUGUUAAAUAUUCCUAUCUAUAAAAUUGUUUAGAAAUAGCUUUAUUUUUUAAAGUUGCAAUUAGGUGGUACACAUAAGACUUUGCCAUAUUGUUAUACAAUUCUGUGAAUAUAUCUGAACUGCUGAACUGACUGCAUAAAAUUAAGACUAUAAAUGAGGUGAAACAGAUCUACAUGUAAAUCAGUAUGUAUCCCACCUCCAAUCCUGAUCAGGCCAAAGGACCAUAUCUACAACACAGUAGAGCCUCUUUUAUGCUCUGACAUAUGAUUGAAGUGUUUUGCCAGUUGAGUUUGAACAGCUGAAAAGUGAGUUAGACUUAAUUGGUAAAUAGUUGUUGCGCUUUGAGGGCCAGUGUGCUAAAUGAUGAGAUUUGUGCUUAGAGUUUAAAAAAGAAUGUGAAAACAGUGGAAUUGUGCUUAGAGUUUAGCAGUCUGGAUUCUUGUAGUUGAUACAUUAGCUUCAAGUUUCCAGACUUGUGUGCAUAGUUCCAUUUUUUGUGUGUCGAGAAAAACUGUGACAUCAUUACAAAUGCCUCUAUUCAACCAUAAUGGGACAUUAGUCCUAGUCCUAUUUACGGUAGAUGUAAUUUGGAAAUGUCGUUGAUAAAGUUGCAUUUAAAACGGCCAUAUAGGCAUAUAUCACUCAUAGGCCGUACAGGACUUAUUUGACAGUCCGACUACCCACGACUCCAGUGCACCACGCUCUCUGCGCGCCGCUACACACCCACAAACGCGCACACACACGCACCAGCUAUCAGAUCUUCACGGAUCGACAACAAGAAGAGAACAAAUCGGAUGGCACGAAUACGACACCCAUUAAUCCUCUCACAAAACACAGACUACCCCUUGGACGUUGACAUGAUUCGGCAUUGGAGCAGAUUGAAUCGUGUGUAGGAUCGAUUUAAAACGGAUGUUCAAACCGCACGCCAUCAGACGUUCGCAAGAACAGCUUUUUCUCAGUAGAGUAGCAUA